UACGGUCAAAUCACGCUGAAACACCGGUUCUCGUACGAUCACCGAAGUUAAGCAGCGUAGAGCCAAGUCAGUACUUAGAUGGGGGACCGCUAGGGAACACCUGGUACUGUAAG
RNAcentral lists this ribosomal RNA (113 nucleotides) under Acanthosepion pharaonis. The record is from RNAcentral. Lineage: Eukaryota; Metazoa; Mollusca; Cephalopoda; Sepiida; Sepiidae.